CAACUAUAUAUGUUGUAUAGAAGCAUUGUUAGCUGUACAUGUCUGCCUGGCAUGGUUCAUCUGACCUUGACCUCAUUUUCAAGGUUCAUUGGUCUUUGUUUAGUUAUCUUGGUUAAUGUUAAGUUUAUGUGACAGUUGUAAUUAAAGCUUAGCUUUAUACUUAGGACUAUCAACAUAAUAUCAAUGAUUAGUAUAGAAGGCGAG
Molecule: long non-coding RNA, 204 nt
Filed under: Mytilus galloprovincialis (Mediterranean mussel)
Lineage: Eukaryota; Metazoa; Mollusca; Bivalvia; Mytilida; Mytilidae
Source: RNAcentral